AUCCUGCUCAGUACGAGAGGAACCGCAGGUUCAGACAUUUGGUGUAUGUGCUUGGCUGAGGAGCCACUGGAGCGAGGCUACCAUCUG
RNAcentral lists this non-coding RNA (87 nucleotides) under Meleagris gallopavo (turkey). RNAcentral describes it as "Eukaryotic large subunit ribosomal RNA". It matches the Rfam family "Eukaryotic large subunit ribosomal RNA", at positions 3022 to 3108 of the family's 3401-position model. Lineage: Eukaryota; Metazoa; Chordata; Aves; Galliformes; Phasianidae. The record is from Rfam by way of RNAcentral.